This 27-nucleotide transfer RNA is filed under the name Cirsium clavatum var. osterhoutii. RNAcentral describes it as "partial tRNA-His". The record is from RNAcentral. RNAcentral also lists the same sequence under 1 other name. Lineage: Eukaryota; Viridiplantae; Streptophyta; Magnoliopsida; Asterales; Asteraceae.
CAAGUGGAUCAAGGCAGUGGAAUGUGA